This 70-nucleotide transfer RNA is filed under the name uncultured Chloroflexota bacterium. Its description in RNAcentral is "uncultured Chloroflexi bacterium tRNA-Asn-GTT". It matches the Rfam family "tRNA". Rfam says of the family: Transfer RNA (tRNA) molecules are approximately 80 nucleotides in length. The record is from RNAcentral. Lineage: Bacteria; Bacillati; Chloroflexota.
GGCCGGAGGAGGAGGGUUAUCGCCUGUUAAGCGAGCGGUCGCGGGUUCGAAUCCCGCCGUCCGGCCUGCA